This 140-nucleotide ribosomal RNA is filed under the name Oryza glaberrima (African rice). RNAcentral describes it as "rRNA EPlOGLG00000000388". It matches the Rfam family "Eukaryotic large subunit ribosomal RNA", at positions 1699 to 1838 of the family's 3401-position model. The record is from RNAcentral. Lineage: Eukaryota; Viridiplantae; Streptophyta; Magnoliopsida; Poales; Poaceae.
CUGCUUAACGGCCUGUCAACCCUAGAAACGGUUCAGCCGAAGGUAGGGUGCAGCGGCCGGAAGAGCACCGCACGUCGCGCGGUAUCCGGUGCGCCCCCGAUGGCCCUUUAAAAUCAGAAGGACCGAGUACCAUCCACGCC